AACGCACCUUGCGCCCCUUGGUAUUCCGAGGGGCACACCCGUUUGAGUGUCGUGAAAAUCUCAACCUUCUCGGUUUCUUCUGAACACCGAAGGAGGCUUGGACUUUGGAGGCCUUUGCUGGCGUCUCUCGCCAGCUCCUCUCAAAUGAAUUAGCGGGGUCCUCUUUGCCGAUCCUCGACAUGUGAUAAGAUGUUUCCAUGUCUUGGCUUUAUGGCUCUGUUGCCUUUGGGACCCGCUUCUAACCGUCUCAGCGAGACAACGUUCGAGCGUGUCUCCCCUCUCGGGGAAACGCUCUUGAACCCACGAAACCUUGACCUCAAAUCGGGUGAGGCUACCCGCUGAACUUAA
This 348-nucleotide unclassified non-coding RNA is filed under the name uncultured Lactarius. Its description in RNAcentral is "sequence contains ITS2". The record is from RNAcentral. Lineage: Eukaryota; Fungi; Basidiomycota; Agaricomycetes; Russulales; Russulaceae.